UGGGGAAUUUUGGACAAUGGGCGAAAGCCUGAUCCAGCAAUGCCGCGUGUGUGAAGAGGGCCUUCGGGUUGUAAAGCACUUUUGUCCGGAAAGAAAUCCUUGGCUCUAAUACAGUCGGGGGAUGACGGUACCGGAAGAAUAAGCACCGGCUAACUACGUGCCAGCAGCCGCGGUAAUACGUAGGGUGCAAGCGUUAAUCGGAAUUACUGGGCGUAAAGCGUGCGCAGGCGGUUUGCUAAGACCGAUGUGAAAUCCCCGGGCUCAACCUGGGAACUGCAUUGGUGACUGGCAGGCUAGAGUAUGGCAGAGGGGGGUAGAAUUCCACGUGUAGCAGUGAAAUGCGUAGAGAUGUGGAGGAAUACCGAUGGCGAAGGCAGCCCCCUGGGCCAAUACUGACGCUCAUGCACGAAAGCGUGGGGAGCAAACAGGAUUAGAUACCCUGGUAGUCCACGCCCUAAACGAUGUCAACUAGUUGUUGGGGAUUCAUUUCCUUAGUAACGUAGCUAACGCGUGAAGUUGACCGCCUGGGGAGUACGGUCGCAAGAUUAAAACUUAAAGGAAUUGACGGGG
This 570-nucleotide ribosomal RNA is filed under the name uncultured bacterium. RNAcentral's name for it is "partial 16S ribosomal RNA". It matches the Rfam family "Bacterial small subunit ribosomal RNA", at positions 355 to 918 of the family's 1533-position model. The record is from RNAcentral.